UCCGCGUGCGUGAUUGGCCGGCGCGGUCGAGAUUGACGGCGAUCGCGAGAUCGCGGCGAGUUUGGCGAGUUUCGCGUGUGUUAAAUCGUGCAAUGUGACAUGUGUACGUGUCGCGUGGUGUCUCGCGAGAUAUACCGAUGAAUUUAAUGUUCGAGAAGAUCUGAUGGGAUUAGCUAUUGGUGCUCAUGAUGCAAAUAUUCAACAAACGUGAAAAGUUGAUAACAUUACAAAUAUAGUUAGAAGAAAAUUCAUGCACAUUUUAGAUAUAUAGAGAGGCGCAUGAAGCUGUUAAGAAAGACCGAUCUAUGCUGAAAUACAGCGGUAACCUAAAAAUAGAUAGUGACAGUGUGACAGUCGUGACCAUCGCCGCGUGAUAGAUGAUAGUGAUAGUGAAAUAUAUAUUGACGGCAGGGAGCUGAUGCCGAGGAGAUCUUUAAGAAGAAAGGUAUAUCCAAAA
Temnothorax curvispinosus is the source of this 457-nucleotide long non-coding RNA. RefSeq lists it as uncharacterized. NCBI's taxonomy places the organism in Eukaryota, Metazoa, Arthropoda, Insecta, Hymenoptera, Formicidae. The record is from RefSeq and is a predicted model, not a curated record. The transcript is spliced from 3 exons.